GGAUGUGGGGUUUUUAGUGCCAAUACCAGGACAGCACUGAGCAUACUGGAUGGCUGGUUACCCUACUUGGCACUCAGAUAUUUGCUGAUGAUCCACCUGGCUAGGCAGGUAUCCCCUUCUUUCCUCACUGCUCCACAUAUGUCCCUCUUGAAGCUGCGCGCUUGGUUGAAGAGGAUGACCAUCCCCGCUAGGGAAGGACCGUUCUUCAGUCCAGGGUACAGAGUAGCUACACUCCCCUGCUGGAAUCCCAAACAAACUCUCAAAUAUUUGCUGAAUAAAAGACAAAUCUAAUUCCACUGAAUCUGUGAUACUUC
RNAcentral lists this small nuclear RNA (314 nucleotides) under Carlito syrichta (Philippine tarsier). RNAcentral's name for it is "7SK RNA (ENSTSYG00000024241.2)". It matches the Rfam family "7SK RNA". Rfam says of the family: 7SK was discovered as an abundant small nuclear RNA in the mid-70s but a possible function has only recently been suggested. Two independent studies have found that 7SK RNA binds the CDK9/cyclin T complex (known as elongation factor P-TEFb). The record is from Rfam by way of RNAcentral. Lineage: Eukaryota; Metazoa; Chordata; Mammalia; Primates; Tarsiidae.